GUUCAUUGCGAUCCCAAGGUUCACUGCGGUUUUCCACAAGCCUGUUUCUGCCUAUCACCAUGAGUGAUUCCUUGAUACUCAUAUUUAUCAUCAAGAUCUCAAUUAUAAGCUCAAGUCUUGAUGACAACUUGAUGAUCUGCAGGAAGCACCACCAUGUAUAGAGGGCAAAGACCACUCUGGAAUCAGUCAAGGCUCAUAGGAACUCCAAUCUUCCCAACUGUGAGAGGGCCUUGCUCCAGUGACUGUUGGUGAAAUGGAGUGAGGCAUACAAGGAUAUGUGUGGUUUUACUCUUGGGAAGGAGGUUGAACAGUGCAAUAUUUCUUCUAUAGGAUUGCAGUGACCAGACAUGCUACUGUAACUCUCAUGGUCAUGUGCUGGAAUUAGCAGAUAUUCAACAAUUUGGCCAUCUUGCUGACCUAUUGAUAUCAGAAGACCACAACAGCUCUGCAAAGCAAGUUGGAAAACAGAAUCCAUGAAACUGGCAGUGACCGGAAACCAGUUAGAAGACUUUGGUCUGU
Danio rerio (zebrafish) is the source of this 519-nucleotide non-coding RNA. Lineage: Eukaryota; Metazoa; Chordata; Actinopteri; Cypriniformes; Danionidae. The record is from RefSeq and is a predicted model, not a curated record.